Molecule: ribosomal RNA, 174 nt
Filed under: Scinax jolyi
Lineage: Eukaryota; Metazoa; Chordata; Amphibia; Anura; Hylidae
Description: partial 16S large subunit ribosomal RNA
Source: RNAcentral
ACGUGAUCUGAGUUCAGACCGGAGUAAUCCAGGUCGGUUUCUAUCUAUAACAGCACUUAUUCCAGUACGAAAGGACCGAAAAAGUAUGGCCUAUGCUUAAUGUAAGCCACCAUUAGUAAAUUAUGAUUACAACUUAAUAGUCUACUAACCUAAUACAUAUCUCAAAACAAGAGA